This is a non-coding RNA of Otolemur garnettii (small-eared galago), 300 nucleotides long. NCBI's taxonomy places the organism in Eukaryota, Metazoa, Chordata, Mammalia, Primates, Galagidae. The record is from Rfam.
GAUGGAUAUGAUGACGCACACCUGUAGUCCCAGCUAAUCGGGAGGCUGAGACAGGAGGAUUGCUUGAGUCCAGGCGUUCUGGGCUGUAGGGCGCUCUGCUGAUUGGGUGUCCACACUAAGUUUAGCAUCAAGGUGUUGACCUCCUGGGAGUGGGAGGCCACCAGGUUGCCUAAGAAGCAGUGAACUGGCCAGGGUCAGAAAUGGGGCAGGUCAAAACUCCCUUGCUGAUCAGGAGUGGGAUUGCACCUAUGAAUAGCCACUGCACUCCAGCCUGGGCAACAUAGUGAGACCCUAUCUCAA